Molecule: transfer RNA, 73 nt
Filed under: Entomortierella parvispora
Lineage: Eukaryota; Fungi; Mortierellomycota; Mortierellomycetes; Mortierellales; Mortierellaceae
Description: Mortierella parvispora tRNA
Rfam family: tRNA
About the family: Transfer RNA (tRNA) molecules are approximately 80 nucleotides in length. Their secondary structure includes four short double-helical elements and three loops (D, anti-codon, and T loops).
Source: Rfam by way of RNAcentral
GGUUAGUUAGCAUAUUUGGUAAUGUAUAAGUUUGCAAAACUUUAAGAGGUAUGUUCGAGUCAUACACUAACCU